UCCAGCCCCUGGCCCGGCCCGCCCUUGCCUCCCGCCGCGCCCACUAGUCCGGGUGACUGGCUGGGCGCGCUCGCGGCCCCACCCGGGCGCCUGGAGACGCUCCAGGGCCACUCGCCCGGCAAGGCUUGGCAGCCUGCAGCAUCUCGGGACAGCUGUCCUGGUCCGCGGCGGCCCUUGCCACCACCCUCCCCUCUUAGUUCAUUAGAGCUGGCGUCUGCAAGCUGGGCUGGAUUGUCCCGAAGGCCCUCCGCGCCCGCGGACCUUACUGAUACAGCGGCCCAGCCCCUGCAACAACUCUGAGCCCUGGGCAUCCUGCAAGGCGGAGCUGCGGAGGAGGGCAGGCCUUGUUUGGUUACUCUGGGUCCUGCAGGCCGAGCUGGCUCACCUCUCAGGCUCUGGUCCUGCGUCUCUGCUGGGUUUUUUUCCCCACUUUUGUUGACACUAAGUAAAUUAUCAAACUCUGAGACCUUUGUCAAUAGAGGCGUGGCUUUACAGGACAAGAUCAAGGAGGACCAAGACUGGACAUCUGGAGACUGAAGGCAACAGAAUGAGGGGGAGCAACGGAAAAAAACUGGAGGAAAGUGAAGAAGAACCUCCAGACCACAGAAGAUGCUCAAAGUUGGAGAGAGCCUUGGAACAGAGAUCAGUACUCACAUUACUAGAAAAUGAGACCCAGCUGUAUGGGAACAUUUCUAGGAGUCCUAUCAGGGUACAUUCCUGGGAGUCUCAGAUCCAACCUCCUUUCUCAGAGGGGAGUGGCUGACACGGAGAGAAGAAUCCACCUGACGCUGAAAUUAUUUUGAAAAAUUUUAAUGGAGGAACAAGAAUACUGGGUUUAAAGCAUGAAAUUUAUUGCUGGUUAGAGUUAGCAGCUUUCCUAGAUUGACUUUUUUUUAAAAAGUCAAAUUAAAUGCCCAAGAAUAAAAGACUCAAAUCUCAACUGUUCUUUUUAAAUAAUAUUCCCCAGCUGGACUCUGAAGAGAAGACCCUUCAAGGUCAGAUAUGGUUUCUAGGCCUCUGAGUGUACUAUAAACAAUAACACCAUAAAUCUGUACAGAUUAACUUGCAAAGCAUUUUCAAGCUAUUACUUCAUUCAGUCCUUUUGAUCUUAACUGAUAAAUGAGAACUCUUGUGUACAAGGCAAUUCAGUGACUUGCCUAGGUUUACACAGUAACCUGGACAGUGGUGGCACAGAUCUGGGAUUCGUCCAAAGCUCUUUCUGCUGCCCCAAACUGUCACCAUCCUGUGCUCCAUCAUCCCUGGCUAUUAGAAUGCAUGUAUCAGGAAGGAUUGAAAUUUGCCUCGUUAUGGUAGUAUAACCAGAGCCGGCUCAGUACUUGGUGUAUACUAAGUACUUAGUACAUUGUUGAAUAAAUUAAUUAAUCUAAAUUUGGUCUAGCCCAGAAAGAAACAGUGCCUCCCUGAAUGGUCUGGAUGAACCCAUUUUUAGAAAUUAAGCCUAAGUGACUUUGUAGCUUAAGAAAUGAAAUAUUCUUUGUGGAAUUUUCUAAACUCCACAGGUGACUGAGGUAACUUGAAUGUUUUAAGAUGGGAUGUUAUUCUGUAUGAAAGGAGGGGGUGAUCUCAUGAAGAUUAUAUUAUUAGCCUGUCACAGAAUCACAUGCCUCUAUUUUUAUUUUUUUCUGCAAGUUUUAUUAUUUUUCAAAUUAUCAUUCAUGUCGAGCAGUGGUAUAAAUCUGUCAUCCCUACAAUGUGAGUAAUACACAUUUGAGUAAAUAUUGCAUUUUGAAAUACAGCAUUUCUAGAUCUCUGAUCCAGAACAAUGAUCAUUUACAUGAUUGGUCUUACAAUCUUAGCAAAACACCAGUUUAAAUUAUUAGUCAACAGUCAUUGUUCUUGUUCUCCCAACUAGACUGUAAAUUCCUUUAGAUGGUGACCUGUGUGACUUCUUUAUUUUCUAACCCUCUCAUGACAAAUGAAUAGCGAAGCCUAAAGACAAAUUUCUGAUUGCAAAUUAAAUCAGAGCUCAGCAUGCUUGAGACACAGCUCUUAUAUGAUUUGAAAAUGCUCAUGAGAGAAUUUUCUUUUUAAUUUCUCUUGGUCCAACUUAACAGGUAUGGCAGCUGGCAUGGAAUUCUGUUUGAUCUAACUCAUCAGAGUCUUUCCUAAGAAUUAUAUAUGUAUAUAUAAUUGUUUUGUCAUGAAACUUUUUGUUAAUAGGGCAAUAAAUGUAGAACAGAAUUGA
Molecule: long non-coding RNA, 2206 nt
Organism: Marmota monax (woodchuck)
Lineage: Eukaryota; Metazoa; Chordata; Mammalia; Rodentia; Sciuridae
Exons: 3
Source: RefSeq, a predicted model, not a curated record